GAUACUUACGAGUAAAGACGUGUGUUUUGUGUAGUGUUCAAUUUUAAGAAAAAUCUUCAAUAUGGAUCAAGUUGAUGGUGUACAAGGGAAGGGGAUACAAAAGCAUGCUUUACAACCGGCGACAACAAUGAUAAGAGAGUACUGUGCUAUAACGAAAUGUGACUCGCCGCCACCAACAUCACCUACGCCUGAGGAAGAAACUUCGAAAGACGAGAAAAAGACCGACUCGUCGUGAUAGCUGAUUCAAAAUUAAAAUUAACAAAAUUCUCGUAAGACCCCACAAGAUUCGAGAGUGUCCAAAACCUAACAGUAUUAUUUAUUAACCACCAACAUAAUUACAUGCCUACGCCUCGGCGCUCCACUGCGGCUCCGCAUCGCUGCCAGUGUGGUGAAUCUGUGGACCGCCUUGGGCACCAUGGUCUUUCCUGUAGCAAAAGUGCUGGUCGCAUGGCACGACACGCCAGCAUAAAUGACAUUAUCCGUCGUGCUCUUGUCACCGCCGGAGUGCCAGCCAUUUUAGAACCCAGAGGCUUGGCACGCGACGAUGGCAAGAGACCAGACGGGAUGUCUAUAAUGCCUUGGAAGAUGGGAAGGUCUUUGGUGUGGACGCAACCUGCGUCGACACCCUUGCACCUUCCCACCUUCCCAGUACGGCGAGCUGUGUCGGUGCAGCUGCUGCGGCCGCGGAAAACCUCAAGCGGCACAAAUAUGUAAACCUCACCGGCAAUUGCAUUUUUGAGCCGUUUGGGGUUGAAACCCUGGGACCAUGGGGCCCAAGUGCCCACAGACUAUUUCGAGAAAUUAGUAAGCGAUUAGUGGAGUCCACUCGUGACCAAAGGGCUGGCCUAUACUUCGGUCAAAGGAUAUGCAUUGCCAUCCAGCGUGGCAAUGCAGCCAGCCUUUUGGGCACGAUCCCAGCUGACAGCGAUGCGGAUGAAUAUUUUGAUACCUAGUUUUAAUAUUUCCCUAUUAUAGAUUAAUAUUGAUUAUUAUGAAUGAAUAAA
Helicoverpa armigera (cotton bollworm) is the source of this 1004-nucleotide long non-coding RNA. RefSeq lists it as uncharacterized. The record is from RefSeq and is a predicted model, not a curated record. The transcript is spliced from 3 exons. Lineage: Eukaryota; Metazoa; Arthropoda; Insecta; Lepidoptera; Noctuidae.